GAUUGAUUGCUCUUGGAUGUUGUGACCAAAAUGAGUGUUGGAAAUGAAGCAAUUUAAAAUUUGUCUCAAAAGCCAAUUACUUGAGAAUCUUAAAGCCAAAUCAGAAGAAGAAAUUAUGGGCUGUGAGUGAUGGUCUUGGGUUAAUUAUUUGGUAGCUAUGAUUUUCUCUACUACUCCUGUGGCCUCACCUUCCUUCUAGCCACUCCUCUUUCAAAGUUACUGCGCACUGUUGUUACUGGAAACUGACCUUGUGCGGGCAGGUGGAGAUGACUAAGAGAAGGUGUCUCCUGUGGGAGCCCAGACUUGUAAGUGGAGAGAAAAGUCCACACAGGCUCAUCCAUCAACUUGCUAUGUGAUUUGGACAUUUUCAAUCACCACUUUCCAUUUGCCAGUAGUAUUUUUUAAAUGGCUUCAAUUAAUGAGGAAGCAGUAGUGGAAUUAAAUGUAAGUCACUCAGAAUUAUAGAAUUAAUGGCAUCCUGUAUUAUGAUGGUUCCUAGAAGAGAUCAGCUUCCCAGCUGACCCACUGAAGUCAGUCAGCUUUGCAAAGCUAGCACAAAAAUGAUCUUGUGUCAAUGUAUGGACAUGAUAGGACAUUUAGUUAUAUAAAAAAAUAUAUGACUCGCUCCCAAAUCCUAUUGACAGAGCAUUGAGCUUGGCAAGAAGGGACCCCGAGCAACAAACACCUGAUGCCUUCAGUCAUCGUGAUGCCAUUUCAGUCAUCGUGAAGGAUUCUGUGUUCUAGCUAAGAAGCCAUCAGUCAGUGGCUCACAGGCUGUGAUUUUAAUGCUCCUGAGGAGGAGGAAAUCUUCCUCCUUGUGGGUCCAAUAAGUGAAGUCCUGGAAAGAUGACCUGAGCCCACGUGAUUGAAGAAGUUGGUAGAGAAAUGAUGAUUUAGUGUAAGGGAACGAAACAACUGUCAGCAUGUUAGCGGAACAGCAUAUGGGAGGAAUCCACCCUAAAAGGGGUUGGCUUGCUCAUCCCUUCCUUAAGCAUUUAUGGAGCGCCUGCCAAGUGCCAGCAACACCCAAGUGUAGCCACAGCAUCUGUCCUCCUGCAUUCCAUAGCCCAGAAGAGGAACCAAUGCCAAAGAAGAUGAGUGGGACACAAUCCACUGUGUAUAGGGUACAGCAAGAACCCAACAGAUCUGUACACAGCAGCUUACACUAUUGAGACAGCUGCUUGGAUCAUGAGCCACACUACAACCGGCCCAAAAGACCAAUACUUCAGGAACAUGCCACUUUGUGUGCCUUAAGAUGACUUCAGCAUGUGCAGACUCCACAGAUGGGGACGGGGAGGGGAGGGCACGGGCUUACGGCUGUAUGUCAAGAUGAGCACUGAGUGAUCACAGGAGUCAGAUGGGAAAACAGGGCCUCAGAGGACACCAUCUCUGACCACGAGGGCUCUAUUAUCUACGUCCCCCAAUUGAUGUGCUAAAGCCCAAACCCCUGUGCCUCAAUGGGACUGAACUGGGAGAAAAGGCUGUAAAGUGGUAAUAUAGGUAAAAUGAAGUCAUAUUGUGGAAACUAAUCAAAGGUGACUGUCAUUCUCCUUUCUUCUGCUUUUGGUA
Chinchilla lanigera (long-tailed chinchilla) is the source of this 1569-nucleotide long non-coding RNA. RefSeq lists it as uncharacterized. The transcript is spliced from 3 exons. Lineage: Eukaryota; Metazoa; Chordata; Mammalia; Rodentia; Chinchillidae. The record is from RefSeq and is a predicted model, not a curated record.